CCAAAUGAAAGAUCCGCUUGCUCCGGCCCUAGCUGGGUGAGGGGAUUCAAACAUCGAAAUCUAUUUAAUAUUUAAAGAAUGAGUUGUAAAGAAAAGACGGCCUAUACAUUUACAACAACUCUACUUUGAGUCUAUAGAAAUAUUUGUACUGUUGGACACUGUAUUUGAGUAGCAAUCUAGAAGCACUACGCUGUAGAAGUUUGAUAGAGAGACAAAUCUGAGAAGCUGUUGUAAGGGUUGAGUAAACAACUUCCAUUACACAUGCUGAUACCAUACUUCACUUUUAGAUACUUCGGAAGCUUUACGGAGCAUGCGUGUCU
Molecule: small RNA, 320 nt
Filed under: Histoplasma capsulatum
Lineage: Eukaryota; Fungi; Ascomycota; Eurotiomycetes; Onygenales; Ajellomycetaceae
Also listed under: 1 other name
Description: hypothetical RNA
Source: RNAcentral